Rosa chinensis is the source of this 671-nucleotide long non-coding RNA. RefSeq lists it as uncharacterized. The transcript is spliced from 3 exons. The record is from RefSeq and is a predicted model, not a curated record. Lineage: Eukaryota; Viridiplantae; Streptophyta; Magnoliopsida; Rosales; Rosaceae.
UAUUCGGAGUUCGUAUGAAUAAGUUAUGAAUAUUUGAAAAUUGGGAAUUUUCUAUAAAUAGAGGAAAAUCCGGAAUUUUUUCAUUAAGGACGAAAAAUUCCAGUUUUUGCGGAAUAGUCCCCCCUCCGGUUCUCUCUCUCUCUCGCUCGAAACCCUCCCCAGGCCCGUCGACCCUCCGACCCGACCCGGCCGAACACGGCCCCUCCGGCCUCCUCCGGCCCCUGACCCGGACUCCACUGGGAUCGCCGCCCCACGACGAGCCUCCCUCUGGUGUCGCCUUGCCUCGCCGCUGCUCCGAAAGCUGGAUCGAAGCCCCUCCGAACCUAAGUUUCGACCCGAUCGGAUCUUGGUCGUGCCGGCGUUGCAUGGGCCGAUCCUCUCGGUUUUGGGUUGUUCUCCUCCCCCUGAUCAUCCCCAUAUCCAAUCUGAUCAGAUCAGACGCACCAGAUUAAUCUGAACUUCAAAGCUUGAUCUAGGACGAUCUAGGCCGAACCGGACUUAGCUCCAGGUACUUGACGGUUUGAGUUGACGAGCGUUUGGAUAUCGUUAUAAUUGACUUGUUAGAAGACGCAGCGGGAUUAGAGGUGAGUAAACCUCACUUGGUUCAUAUUACGAACCGAAUAAAUUUAAUUAUUCUAUUUUUUGUGGAAAUUGUGUGAAAAUAUUUAUGG